This 497-nucleotide ribosomal RNA is filed under the name uncultured bacterium. RNAcentral's name for it is "partial 16S ribosomal RNA". It matches the Rfam family "Bacterial small subunit ribosomal RNA", at positions 28 to 507 of the family's 1533-position model. The record is from RNAcentral.
GACGAACGCUGGCGGCGUGCCUAAUACAUGCAAGUAGAACGCUGAAGAGAGGAGCUUGCUCUUCUUGGAUGAGUUGCGAACGGGUGAGUAACGCGUAGGUAACCUGCCUUGUAGCGGGGGAUAACUAUUGGAAACGAUAGCUAAUACCGCAUAACAAUGGAUGACACAUGUCAUUUAUUUGAAAGGGGCAAUUGCUCCACUACAAGAUGGACCUGCGUUGUAUUAGCUAGUAGGUGAGGUAAUGGCUCACCUAGGCGACGAUACAUAGCCGACCUGAGAGGGUGAUCGGCCACACUGGGACUGAGACACGGCCCAGACUCCUACGGGAGGCAGCAGUAGGGAAUCUUCGGCAAUGGGUGCAACCCUGACCGAGCAACGCCGCGUGAGUGAAGAAGGUUUUCGGAUCGUAAAGCUCUGUUGUAAGUCAAGAACGGGUGUGAGAGUGGAAAGUUCACACUGUGACGGUAGCUUACCAGAAAGGGACGGCUAACUACGUG